RNAcentral lists this ribosomal RNA (521 nucleotides) under Junonia almana (peacock pansy). RNAcentral's name for it is "partial 16S ribosomal RNA". The stretch from base 385 to 521 matches the Rfam family "Bacterial large subunit ribosomal RNA", at positions 2473 to 2610 of the family's 2925-position model. Lineage: Eukaryota; Metazoa; Arthropoda; Insecta; Lepidoptera; Nymphalidae. The record is from RNAcentral.
UUUUUGAUAAUAAUUUAAAGUCUAAUCUGCCCACUGAUAGAAUAUUAAAGGGCUGCAGUAUAUUGACUGUACAAAGGUAGCAUAAUCAUUAGUCUUUUAAUUGAAGACUUGUAUGAAAGAUUUGAUGAAAUAUAAACUGUCUCUAAUUUAUGUUUAGAAAUUAAUUUUUUAGUUAAAAAGCUAAAAUAAAGUUAAAAGACGAGAAGACCCUAUAGAGUUUUAUAUUUUGAUUAAUUAUUAUUAAAUAUAUAAUUAAAUAUAAUAAUUAAUUAAAAUAUUUUGUUGGGGUGAUAGAAAAAUUUAAUAAACUUUUUUUAAAAUUUGAACAUAAAUAAGUGAAUAAUUGAUCCAUUAAUAAUGAUUAAAAGAAAAAAUUACCUUAGGGAUAACAGCGUAAUAUUUUUUUUUAGUACAAAUAAAAAAAAAAGUUUGCGACCUCGAUGUUGGAUUAAGAUAAAAUUUAAAUGCAAAAGUUUAAAAUUUUGAUCUGUUCGAUCAUUAAAAUCUUACAUGAUCUGAGC